UGCAGGAUUGCAGAGAUACUGCCCUGCCCUGUUGCUUUUUCUCUCCCUGAAAUCCUCAGUGACUUCAGCAGUUCAGGGCUGGCCCAGAAACUCCAGCAUCUCUGGGAUCCUUCAGGAUGGAAGGCUCUCCACGUGGGUGUCAUUCCCAUGGGAUUCACGAGCAGAAAACCAGCAGCUGGAAGAUUCCCCCUCAUCCCAUGGGCAAGGCCUGGAAUGGAGGGAUCACUUCUUCCUGUGGAGCAGAGGUGAAUAUUCCUUGCAAAACAAAUGUAGCUCUUAAAACAAAACCCCCCAAAUACUGUCUUUUGUUAACUAAAAAGCGCUGAAAAACACUUCUGUGCUCAGCAACAAUGAGCUAAAAAGAUUUGAAGAGGUUGGGAAACGAACAAUUUCAACGCUUUCUCAUCCUUUUAGAUGAAGCCAAUCGUAACAAAAAAAAAAAAAAAGAAAUGGUAAUGAAUGCAUUCCGAGGGGGCCUCGGGCCUGACUCGCUGCAAAGCAUCGAGAUCCUGCUGAGGCUCCUCUCCAGCUGAUUCCCUUCUCUCCAGCUGAUUCCCUCAGCUCCAGCUGAUUCCCUUCUCUCCAGCUGAU
This is a long non-coding RNA of Pipra filicauda (Wire-tailed manakin), 591 nucleotides long. RefSeq lists it as uncharacterized. Lineage: Eukaryota; Metazoa; Chordata; Aves; Passeriformes; Pipridae. The record is from RefSeq and is a predicted model, not a curated record. The transcript is spliced from 4 exons.